RNAcentral lists this transfer RNA (56 nucleotides) under Gnathostoma spinigerum. RNAcentral describes it as "tRNA-Gly". Lineage: Eukaryota; Metazoa; Nematoda; Chromadorea; Rhabditida; Gnathostomatidae. The record is from RNAcentral.
AGUCUUUUAGUAUAAUUGAGUAUAUUCGAUUUCCAAUUGAAUGGUAUGGGAGAUUG